Silurus meridionalis is the source of this 685-nucleotide long non-coding RNA. RefSeq lists it as uncharacterized. NCBI's taxonomy places the organism in Eukaryota, Metazoa, Chordata, Actinopteri, Siluriformes, Siluridae. The transcript is spliced from 2 exons. The record is from RefSeq and is a predicted model, not a curated record.
GUUUGGUGCUGACUGAAGUGAGAGUGAACGCUAUGGUGAGAUCGAAAGAGCCUUCAGAAAUAAAAUUGUAGCAGUUAUGAGUCUGGUUCACCCUGAGAGCAGACCACAAGAUGCUAAAAGUUGUAACCAAAACCCCUAAAAUGCAUCAUGGAACCUACAGCAGGAUCUUGUUUCUGAAAGAGACUACACAAGUUUUUCUUUUUCAAAAAGAAAUUAAAGCGGACAAAACAUGACCCAAAACAUGCCAGUAAAUCCACCAAGGACUGGAGGAAAACUGAGAAAUGAAGAGUCCUGGAAUGGCCGAGUCAAAGCCAAGAUCCUAAUCCCAUUGAGACGCUGUGGAGUGACUUAAAAAGAAACUCCUCAAACAUCUCACAGUUUAAAGAAUUCUGCGUUGAAAAGUGGGGCAAUCUUUUCUCAGAACGAUGUCAGAGACUGAUGAAAGGCUACAAGAAGCUUCUCACUGAAGUUAUUUCAGCUAAAGGAGGUAACACUAGGGGGUAGGGGGUCCUAACUUUUUCCUUAGUUAGAAUAUACAUUUUAGUUGAUAUCUUUUGUUUAAUGAGUAAAACAGGGUUAAUUUUUGUCGUUUACCUGCAAUUAAAUCACUUUUUUCACCAGAGAAAACUAACAACAAGAUUAGACAUCGCUAUGUGAACAUUUCUUAAUAAAGAUCUAAUAUAUA